Molecule: ribosomal RNA, 559 nt
Filed under: uncultured Glomus
Lineage: Eukaryota; Fungi; Glomeromycota; Glomeromycetes; Glomerales; Glomeraceae
Description: SSU rRNA
Rfam family: Eukaryotic small subunit ribosomal RNA
Source: RNAcentral
AAUUGGAGGGCAAGUCUGGUGCCAGCAGCCGCGGUAAUUCCAGCUCCAAUAGCGUAUAUUAAAGUUGUUGCAGUUAAAAAGCUCGUAGUUGAAUUUCGGGAUCAGCAGGUCGGUCGUGCCACUGGUAUGCACUGGCCUUGCUGAUUCCUCCUUCUUGAUGAGCCGUAAUGCCAUUAAUUUGGUGUUGCGGGGAAUCAGGACUGUUACUUUGAAAAAAUUAGAGUGUUUAAAGCAGGCAAGCGCUUGAAUACAUUAGCAUGGAAUAAUGAAAUAGGACGUUCGAUCCUAUUUUGUUGGUUUCUAGGAUUGACGUAAUGAUUAAUAGGGAUAGUUGGGGGCAUUAGUAUUCAAUUGUCAGAGGUGAAAUUCUUGGAUUUAUUGAAGACUAACUACUGCGAAAGCAUUUGCCAAGGAUGUUUUCAUUAAUCAAGAACGAAAGUUAGGGGAUCGAAGACGAUCAGAUACCGUCGUAGUCUUAACCAUAAACUAUGCCGACUAGGGAUCGGAUGAUGUUAAUUUUUUAAUGACUCAUUCGGCGCCUUACGGGAAACCAAAGUGU